This 216-nucleotide ribosomal RNA is filed under the name uncultured bacterium. Its description in RNAcentral is "partial 16S ribosomal RNA". It matches the Rfam family "Bacterial small subunit ribosomal RNA", at positions 118 to 351 of the family's 1533-position model. The record is from RNAcentral.
UGGGAACCUUCCCUAUGGUUCGGAAUAGCUCAGGGAAACUUGGGGUAAUACCGGAUAAGCCCUUCGGGGGAAAGAUUUAUCGCCAUUGGAUGGGCCCGCGUCGGAUUAGCUAGUUGGUGAGGUAACGGCUCACCAAGGCAACGAUCCGUAGCUGGUCUGAGAGGAUGAUCAGCCACACUGGGACUGAGACACGGCCCAGACUCCUACGGGAGGCAG